Molecule: ribosomal RNA, 457 nt
Filed under: Huitaca boyacaensis
Lineage: Eukaryota; Metazoa; Arthropoda; Arachnida; Opiliones; Neogoveidae
Description: partial 16S ribosomal RNA
Source: RNAcentral
UUCCUCUAGAAAAAAUUAUAGGUAAAACCUGCUCCAUGAAAUAAUAAAUAGCUGCAGGAGACUGUACUAAGGUAGCAUAAUCAUUUGUCUUUUAAUUGAAGACUAGAAUGAAGGGUUAAACGUAUUUUAAAAAAUCCUGUUUAAAAAUAUCUAAAUUAAUUUUUAAAUAAAAAAGUUUAAAUGCUUUUUAGGGACGAGAAGACCCUAAAAAGCUUAUAUAAAUAUUCUAAUUUUAUUGAAAUUUUAUUUUAGUUGGGGCAACUUAAUAAGAUAAAGAUCUUGAUUUUAAGCGAUCCAAAAUUUUUGAUUAUAAAUAAAGUUACUUUAGGGAUAACAGCAUAAUAAAACUAUUCAAGAUCAAAUUGAUUAGUUUGUUUGUGACCUCGAUGUUGGAUUAAUUUUCCUAAAAGAGGAAUAAUAUUUUUAAGGUCGUCUGUUCGACGAGUAAUCUAUUACA